ACCUGGACGGUGGCCUGUGAAGGACAAUAGGCUUGCGGAGCGGAGGAAAGGUUUUGCAAGGAGUGGGAAGCAGCUGGUGUAACCAGAAGUCGGAGAGCGACCGGGUUGUGGAGCCAUGGCGGCAACCUCUGCGGUGUCGGUGCUGCUCUUGGCGGCAGAGAAGAACCGGUGGCUGCGAGUCCCGAGCCUGCUGCUGCCGCCGAGGAGAUGGACUUGGAGGCAGAGAACCGUGAAGUAUUCAACAACCACAGGACGAAACAUUGCCAAGGUCCUCAUUGCAAACAGAGGAGAAAUUGCCUGCAGGGUGAUACGAACAGCCAAAAAAAUGGGAAUACAGUCCGUGGCUGUUUAUAGUGAGGCCGACAAGAAUUCCAUGCAUGUAGACAUGGCAGAUGAAGCAUAUUCUAUUGGCCCCGCUCCCUCCCAGCAGAGCUACCUUUCUAUGGAGAAAAUCAUUCAAGUGGCCAAGAUCUCUGCUGCUCAGGCUAUCCAUCCAGGAUAUGGUUUUCUUUCAGAAAACAUGGAAUUUGCCGAACUCUGCAAACAAGAAGGAAUUAUUUUUAUAGGUCCUCCUUCAUCUGCAAUUAGAGACAUGGGUAUAAAGAGCACAUCCAAAUCCCUAAUGGCUGCUGCCGGAGUGCCUGUUGUGGAGGGAUAUCAUGGAGAGGACCAGUCGGAUCGGUGUCUGAGGGAGCAUGCGGGGAGAAUAGGUUAUCCUGUCAUGAUUAAAGCCGUCCGUGGUGGAGGAGGAAAAGGAAUGAGGAUCGUUAGAUCUGAAGAAGAAUUUCAAGAGCAGUUAGAAUCAGCACGGAGAGAAGCUAAGAAGUCUUUCAAUGAUGAUGCUAUGCUGAUUGAGAAGUUUGUGGACACGCCAAGGCACAUAGAAGUCCAGGUGUUUGGUGACUACCAUGGCAAUGCUGUAUACUUGUUUGAAAGAGAUUGUAGUAUACAGAGGAGACAUCAGAAGAUCAUUGAGGAAGCCCCAGGGCCUGGUAUUAACUCUGAUGUAAGAAAAAAGCUUGGAGAAGCUGCAGUCAGAGCUGCUAAAGCAGUAAAUUAUGUUGGAGCAGGAACUGUGGAGUUUAUUAUGGACUCCAAGCACAAUUUCUACUUCAUGGAGAUGAAUACAAGGCUGCAAGUGGAACACCCUGUUACUGAGAUGAUCACAGGAACUGACUUGGUGGAGUGGCAGCUUAGGAUUGCAGCAGGAGAGAAGAUUCCUUUGAGCCAAGAAGAAAUAACCCUGCAGGGCCAUGCCUUUGAAGCUAGAAUAUAUGCAGAAGAUCCUGACAAUAACUUCAUGCCUGGAGCUGGGCCUUUAGUGCAUCUCUCCACCCCUCAGGCAGACCUUUGCACCAGGAUUGAAACUGGAGUGCGUCAAGGAGAUGAAGUUUCAGUGCAUUAUGACCCCAUGAUUGCGAAAUUGGCUGUGUGGGCAGCAGAUCGCCAGGCGGCCUUAACGAAACUGAGGUACAGCCUUCGUCAGUACAACAUUGUCGGACUGCACACCAACAUUGACUUCCUUCUUAGCCUGUCUGGCCACCCAGAGUUUGAGGCUGGGAACAUACACACCGAUUUCAUCCCUCAACACCGCAAAGAACUGUUGCCCAGUCGGAAGGCCACAGCCAAAGAGCUUUUAUGCCAGGCAGCUCUGGGUUUCAUCCUCAAGGAGAAAGCUAUGUCUGAUGUUUUCAAAAUUCAGUCACAAGAUCGGUACUCCCCUUUUGCAUCCAGCAGUGGAAGAAGACUGAAUACCUGUUACACCAGAAACAUAACUCUCAGGGAUGGUAAAAAGAUUUCAGGUGUACGAUAUAGUGAUCCAGCAAUUCCAUAUAUUACCCAGUGCUCAUCAAGAUAAGUACACUCUUAAUCUCCUUCAUCUGUUUCACCCAUCCCCCCCAUCCACCUCCCCUCUGGUAACCAUCAGUUCUCUAUAGUUAAGAGUCUGCUAAAAGUCCAUUUUUUAAGAAACAAAAGUUUGAAAUUCACUUUUAUUGGAACUUACCUAUAGAUUUUUAAAAAUCUUGUCAGGGAGUUAAAAGAUGUUGGUAUCCCUAAAGGCUGGUUAUCUUUAGCUUGAAAGAGAUUUUUAGAAUCCCCGUCUAUGAUUGUCUUCUAAUUUUUCUUCAAUUUUCCCCCCUUUUUCAUAAAGAUGUAGCCAUAGCUGUCACAUAUAACCUCGAUGGGUCAUAUAGCAUGCAGAUUCAAGAUAAAACUUUCCAAGUCCUUGGUGAUCUUUGUAAUGAGGGAGACUGCACUUACCUGAAAUGUUCUGUUAAUGGAGUUUCUAGUAAAACUAAGCUAAUUAUCCUGGAAAACACUAUUUACCUAUUUUCCAUGACGGGAAGUACUCAGAUUGACAUUCCAGUCCCCAAAUACUUGUCUUCAAUGAGCUCAGAUGGAACUCAGGAAGGUGCCAUAGCUCCUAUGACGGGUACCAUUGAAAAGGUAUUUGUGAAAGUCGGAGACAAAGUAAAAGCUGGAGAUUCUCUAAUGGUUAUGAUUGCCAUGAAAAUGGAGCUUACCAUAAAGGCCCCAAAGGACGGCACAAUCAAGAAAGUGUUCUACAAAGAAGGUUCUCAGGCCAACAGACAUGUUCCUUUAAUCGAGUUUGAGGAAGAGGAAUCGGACAAAAGAGAAGCAGAAUAAAUGCCAUCAAAGAAAUGUCCAAUUAAGCAGUAUCUUAAAUAUAGUAUCUGUACACCAAAAAGAGAAAGUGCCUUCCUGCUUUUCUCAGAGUCUAAUAAACAUCAGUUUUACUAAAUGAUUGUACAAUUAGGCUAAUAUUUGAGAAUCAUGUACUUGGGUCACAAACACAAUAAAUUAUCUAUUUCAUACUAAUAAAUUGAAUUAUAUUUUUUUA
Lynx canadensis (Canada lynx) is the source of this 2863-nucleotide RNA transcript. It is a transcript of the gene named methylcrotonoyl-CoA carboxylase 1, with no coding region annotated. The record is from RefSeq and is a predicted model, not a curated record. NCBI's taxonomy places the organism in Eukaryota, Metazoa, Chordata, Mammalia, Carnivora, Felidae. The transcript has 19 exons.